UUUACCGUGAAAAAAUUAGAGUGUUCAAAGCGGGCAGAUAUUUUUCCUGCCACCGAAUACAUUAGCAUGGGGAUAAUGGGAAUAGGACCCUGACCUCCUAUUUUCAGUUGGUUUUGUUUACAGCGAGGUUAUAUCAGGGUAAUGAUUAAUAGGGAUAGUUGGGGGCAUUAAUAUUUAAUUGUCAGAGGUGAAAUUCUUGGAUUUAUGAAAGAUUAACUUCUGCGAAAGCGUUUGCCAAGGAUGUUUUCAUUAAUCAAGAACGAAAGUUAGGGGAUCGAAGACGAUCAGAUACCGUCGUAGUCUUAACCAUAAACGAUGCCGACCAGCGAUUAGGAGACGUUGAAUACAAAACACCGCUGUUAAUCCUUUCGGGGGUUAAUAGUUGGUGAAUGACUCCCCUAGAG
This 404-nucleotide ribosomal RNA is filed under the name Acanthamoeba genotype T5. RNAcentral describes it as "SSU rRNA". It matches the Rfam family "Eukaryotic small subunit ribosomal RNA", at positions 751 to 1085 of the family's 1831-position model. Lineage: Eukaryota; Discosea; Longamoebia; Acanthamoebidae. The record is from RNAcentral.